Papaver somniferum (opium poppy) is the source of this 1388-nucleotide RNA transcript. It is a transcript of the gene named histone acetyltransferase MCC1-like, with no coding region annotated. The record is from RefSeq and is a predicted model, not a curated record. Lineage: Eukaryota; Viridiplantae; Streptophyta; Magnoliopsida; Ranunculales; Papaveraceae. The transcript is spliced from 7 exons.
AACCGAGUUUGUGGAGUGCGAAACCCAUCCCCCCUCUCUGUACAACAAGAGUCGGACAAAGCAUCUCUCUCUCUCUCUAGAAAAAACUUGAACAAAGUCGAUCCAUUUGUUUCUCUUCUAAAAACACUAACUUGGAAUCAGGAUUUGGAUGAUACUGAGAUAUAGGUUUAUGAUGACGACAUACAACUUCAUGGCUCCUGUUGACAUGGAAUAGAUGGAGAAAAAAGUUGUUAUGCAUAACAUAUAUAUCAAAUCUUUCAAGGGGAUUGACACCAAAAAUUUCAAUGGUAGACCAAGAUAUUGUGUAUAGGCAAUUACGACCUUCUGAUAUUGGAGUUCUUGAGCGAAUUCAUUGUGAUCUAUUUCCCAUUAGGUAUGAAAGUGAGUUCUUCCACAACGCUGUAAGUGGUCGGGAUAUUGUGUCUUGGGGGGCAGUUGACUGUAGUCGAACUGAUGGCCGAAGCGAUGAACUUGUUGGAUUUGUUACUGCACGUACUAUUUUAGCAAAUGAUAGCGAGAUAGGGGAUAUGCUCAGAUAUGAUCCUACCAGGACAGAUCAAACACUAGUUUAUAUUCUUACAUUAGGCGUGGUAGAGUCUUAUCGUAAUCGUGGAAUAGCUGCUGCACUUACUCGAGAGGUUAUAAAGUAUGCAUCAAACCUAGCACAUUGUCAAGCAGUUUACUUGCACGUCAUAUCUUACAAUAAUCCUGCAAUUCAAUUCUACAAGAAGUUGUGCUUUAAAUUCGUACGGAGAUUAUCGGGGUUUUAUUACAUCCAAGGCCAACAUUAUGAUUCGCUUUUGUUCGUGUACUAUGUGAAUGGCGGUCGAUCUCCUUGUUCCCCACUGAAUCUUGAUAUUAUUAAGACUUUGGUGGGAAAGAUUGGAAGGCACCUUCGCUUAAGAAAUCUUAGGAGUAAUUAACCCUCUUGCUCUAGCUACAAAAGUGGUAGAACUGCAUCACCAUUUCAAAUUUAUACGGCAAAAGAAUAAGAAAGAAAUAAAAGAUUAUAUCUCCGCACAUCUACCAGAAAGAGUAAUAUAGUCCUUUACACACGGCCUCUUAUGAACCCCAGAAUAGAGAUUGUAGCAACCGUCGCAGCCUACGUUAAAAGCUUUUUCAAGUUAAUGGUCACAAGGCUAUGGAAGAGUGAGGAAAAGGUGUCAAGAUGGUCUAAAUGUAAGGAAAGUAGUCGUCUUUUAACAGCCCAAAAUAAGAGGAAUAUUACCUCUGAUAGUGAUGGUUGUCAGUGUGUUUAAUAACUUGUGUAAUAUUCUUAUUUUCAUGUUGUGUAAUUAUCAAUUCUUAACUUAACUUGGUCACAUCAGUUUGUUAGUUGUAUUGUAGCAUUUCCUUCCGAUUGAGUAAAUAAUUUUAUUCAGUCCGCA